RNAcentral lists this long non-coding RNA (782 nucleotides) under Cyanistes caeruleus (blue tit). RNAcentral's name for it is "lncRNA (ENSCCEG00000022439.1)". Lineage: Eukaryota; Metazoa; Chordata; Aves; Passeriformes; Paridae. The record is from RNAcentral.
GAGGAUUUGUGUGUUCAGAGCAGCCUCAGCUGCAGUCCAUGAACCACCCUCUGGGCUUCUUGCAGUAAAUGGGUAAUGGAGCAGCUGUGGAAGUUCCUGUGGAUGAUCUUCAAACUCACCCCAGCAGUGUGACAUUCUCACCCACCUCACCUGCCUGCAGGUCACUGCCAGCCCCAUGAGGGAUGUGCCUGCUUUGGUUUCAGUUAAAGAACUAACCUAAAGUGGUGGAAAUGCUCAAGUUCUCCUUUGCAUCCAUGAGUUGCUGUAUGUGAUGAAGCUGCAGCCUGUCCCCAAGCCACAUUCUCCUGUUUCAGCUUACAGAACUGUCAAAGGCAGCGCUGAUUUCCAGUCUGACUGCUCAGCUCUGCUGUACCAUCCUCUCUUUGGCUGUGAUCCCUUUCAGAACAACCUGGUAGCAUUUGGAUCAAAGAACCAGGGACUGUCUGGGCUGAGUUCACUGGAUUCUGCAAAGGGAACUGGACUGGACCACCAAAAACCUCAGAGUGACCAAAGAGCUCAUGGCAGAAGGGCUCGAGAUGUGGGCACACUUGUUCAGAUCCCUGUGGAGCCAGUGGCAGCAGCGUGUGGCUCACUGCUGUGCCCAGAGAAACUGUAAAUCCAGAGGGAACAUGGACACAUCGUCACUGGGACACCUGAGAGGGAAAGUGAGUGUUGUUGGAGCUUGUUGGGGACUGGCCACGCUGCAGAAUGUCCCAAAUUCCUGCUGUUGUUACUGGCAAGCUUAAAAUAAACAAUGGGAAAACUCAGCUGAAGUUAAUGCA